RNAcentral lists this transfer RNA (67 nucleotides) under Cordylochernes scorpioides. Its description in RNAcentral is "tRNA-Thr". Lineage: Eukaryota; Metazoa; Arthropoda; Arachnida; Pseudoscorpiones; Chernetidae. The record is from RNAcentral.
GUCCAGGGGCGGAAAUCGAACCCACAUGCUUACCGGGCAGGUGCCAUGUCCACUAGGCUACCCUGGA